Molecule: transfer RNA, 77 nt
Filed under: Brevibacterium linens ATCC 9172
Lineage: Bacteria; Bacillati; Actinomycetota; Actinomycetes; Micrococcales; Brevibacteriaceae
Description: tRNA_Pro_CGG
Rfam family: tRNA
About the family: Transfer RNA (tRNA) molecules are approximately 80 nucleotides in length. Their secondary structure includes four short double-helical elements and three loops (D, anti-codon, and T loops).
Source: RNAcentral
CGGGAUAUAGCGCAGCUUGGUAGCGCGCCUCAUUCGGGACGAGGAGGUCGUGGGUUCGAAUCCCGCUAUCCCGACCG